Molecule: transfer RNA, 76 nt
Filed under: Lentimicrobiaceae bacterium
Lineage: Bacteria; Pseudomonadati; Bacteroidota; Bacteroidia; Bacteroidales; Lentimicrobiaceae
Description: tRNA-Thr
Rfam family: tRNA
About the family: Transfer RNA (tRNA) molecules are approximately 80 nucleotides in length. Their secondary structure includes four short double-helical elements and three loops (D, anti-codon, and T loops). Further hydrogen bonds mediate the characteristic L-shaped molecular structure. tRNAs have two regions of fundamental functional importance: the anti-codon, which is responsible for specific mRNA codon recognition, and the 3' end, to which the tRNAs corresponding amino acid is attached (by aminoacyl-tRNA synthetases). tRNAs cope with the degeneracy of the genetic code in two manners: having more than one tRNA (with a specific anti-codon) for a particular amino acid; and 'wobble' base-pairing, i.e. permitting non-standard base-pairing at the 3rd anti-codon position.
Source: RNAcentral
GCCACUUUAGCUCAGUUGGUAGAGCAACGCAUUCGUAAUGCGUAGGUCUACGGUUCGAGUCCGUAAUGUGGCUCAA